CGUGCAGGCGGUCUGCUAAGUCUAGGGUGAAAGCUCCCGGCUCAACUGGGAGAGGUUCUUGGAUACUGGCGGACUUGAGGGAGGUAGGAGGAGAGUGGAAUUCCCGGUGUAGUGGUGAUAUGCGUAGAUAUCGGGAGGAACACCAGUGGCGAAGGCGGCUCUCUGGGCCUUUCCUGACGCUGAGACGCGAAAGCGUGGGGAGCGAACC
RNAcentral lists this ribosomal RNA (208 nucleotides) under uncultured bacterium. RNAcentral's name for it is "partial 16S ribosomal RNA". It matches the Rfam family "Bacterial small subunit ribosomal RNA", at positions 568 to 774 of the family's 1533-position model. The record is from RNAcentral.